Esox lucius (northern pike) is the source of this 5852-nucleotide long non-coding RNA. Lineage: Eukaryota; Metazoa; Chordata; Actinopteri; Esociformes; Esocidae. The record is from Ensembl.
UGAGUGACCUCUGACAAAGUGAAUACAAAUAUAAUCCUGUAACUGAUAUAUUAAUUCAUCUUGGAUUAACAAUAACUGACCAGUUUAAAUAAAGUAUACCAAACACAAUCGUUAUACAUUCAGUGUAAAAACAAUAUGGUAAAAUAUAUGGUGAAAGAAUUGUAGGUCUGUAUAGGGCUAGGCGAUGUGGCCCUGAAUUUUAUAGCAUGAUUUACAUUUAUUUUUAAUUAUUUUAUUUUCCAGAUUUAAUAAAACAAGUUGGUUUGGAGCAUUUCAUCAAAUGAGGUAGUCUACUGGAAUGCUUUUCAGUUACCAGGUGUAUGAUACCACACAUUUUGGGUUCGAUCCAAUACCAAGUAAUACAGGGCCAGAAUCACCAAUAUCGAUAUUGAUACCAAUCCCGAUAAUUCUUAUUAAUAAAAGUGGCUUAAGUACUUUCAUGUAGGGGAGAGCUUCUUGUAAUAUCCAGAGCUCUUGGGGAAUGUCUAUAGUCUAUGACAGGUUUGACGUAUAUUAUUUUAAAUUCCAUAUUUAAGAUUUCAAUGGGCUGAAUAUGUCUGAAUAUAGACAUACAUUUCACAUGAUGCUCCUCUUUCGUUCAGUCAUGGCCCAUGGCAUUCAUGCAUGCAAUUGGGUUGGAUUGGUGGUCGGCACCAGUAGACAGGGUGCUGUGGUGUGCUUUGCGUGCGUGAUGUGUAUGUUUGUUGUUUGAGCGCACGGUCACAAGUAACAGCAGUGGAGCUAGAGAAGCACUUAAUUAAGAUGUGUUCACGACAACGGAACAUUGUUUGCACAGUGGCAGUUCUACUCUUUGAUGAAAUGGGUACAACUUAGAAGAGGAAAACUGAAACUGGUAUCGAUCCUACUGACGCUAGAAUUUAGUUUUCUGCUUAGCGGGACGAUCAUUUGGUUUUCAACAGGACAACGACCCAAACACACCUCCAGACUAUGUCCAAAAAGGAGAAUGAUGGAGUGCUGCAUCAAAUGACCUUGCCUCAUCAAUCACCGACCUCAACCCAAUUGAGGUGGUUUGGGAUGAGUUGGGCAGCAAAAUGAAGGAAAACCAGCCAACAAGUGCUCAGCAUAUGUGGCAAUUCAUUGUAGACAGUUGGAAAAGCAUUCCAGGUGACUACCUAAUGAAGCUGGUUGAGAGAAUGCCAAGAGUGUACAAAGCUGUCUUCAAGGCAAAGGGUGGCUACUUUGAAUAAUCUAAAAUAUAAAUGUAUUUUGACUGGUUUAUCACUUUUUUGGUUACUACAUGAUUCCAUAUGUUAUUUCGUAAUUUUGAUAGAUAUUCCACAUUGUAGAAUAACAGUUGGCUAUAUAUCAUUGUAUGUGUUCAUAGGUCCUGUGAUUCCAGAGUGCGGUAAAUAAAUCACUGCUUGAAUUUUGGUCAUGGCAUCACUCUUAGGCUGCUUGGUAGUUAACAUUUAAUUUAGAUGAUUUUGGGGAAAGCAUUUUUAUCUAACAGAACCUAUUACAUAAGCACAAUUGCUAUUGGCUGCUGAAAGUUAUGGGCAAAAGCGGGGUGUGACAAAAUCAAAAUGAGUGACCGAUCUCCAAAUAACCUUGCAUCAAAGACUGACCCCCCCCCCCCCCCAUUACAUCUUCAAAACGCAGAUUCAGGAGAUUCCGAAAUACUGAUGCAUUUUGUUCAUGUCCUAAAAUUCAACAUUUACUUGAAGUGCUACACAUGCUACCAGCAAAUGUUAUGGAGCCGCUAAACAUGAAACUACUAACAGCGUUUUUCUUCCUAUGACAACUUUUAAGAAAAACGUGGUUACGGAAUCAAUAUACAAUUUGAUAAUGAAUGAUAUUUUAUCGCCUAGCCCUAUCUUUUAACAAUGUGGCCCGCAGAAGUUCAGCAACAUAGCAUGAUUAAAACUUAAAGGCAAUGUUCAUGCAUUAGCAGAAGUGUGUUGAUCAUUAACGCCGUGCGUUAGCUCAAUGAAAAUCACCUUUACAUUUUGAGCACGCAAUGUGCAAUGCUCCAAUAACCAAGAUCGAGUCGGGCCCUUUAAAUUAUAUGAACGUGAAAUACUGUAAACCACAAACGAUUCAAUAAUAUUCAACACCACACCUUGUUCUGGAUAACGUGCAUGCGUUGAGUUACACAACAGACCUGGAUUAGGGCUCUGCUUGCACAGCACGGACAGAAUCGAAUACUCAGUCAUCACCGAUUGGAAAUGUACUGCAUGAAUACGGUCGGUUGGAAAAAAAAGUGUGGAAUAGUUAAGACUCUGGGGUCGGUGGGGAUCACAGUUCAGUCUUGUUGACUGAAACCACAGUUACGGUGAGCUACCAGGCUAUUUGUGGUCAGUUUGUUUUGUCGUUUUGUUUACGUAUCUAAAGAGAUUACUUGAGGACUGGAGCAGAUAUGUUUCAGAGCCCUUGAUAUCCAUUUGAGGAUAGUAAAUAAUUCACAAUGAUCGCCAGCCUAUUCGUCUCAUGCUACAAUUCUGCAGGCGGAUGGUUGGCUUAAGGGCUGUUUUCUGUUCUGCCCUAGAUAAAGACAGCUUGAUCCAUUGGUGCUCCCGAGUAACCCUCAUACCGUCCAAGCAGAGCCGGCAUCAGAAGUGGAAGCGCUUGUUUUCUAUUCUUUGAUUCAAUAUUCAGAAAUAUAAUGCAAUCACAUAGGUAUAAGUACAGAGGAGAUUUGUGACUGACAGCUGGGGUAGAGGAAGUUUGGGGGGGGGGUAGUUUUGGGGGCGGUUCAACCACACAGAUUGAGUGACAAAUACAAUAACUCGAAUAUCAACUGUGAUUCUUCAAAUAGAGUUUGGAGAAGAAAAGAGAAAACAACGAAGCAUGCCAAAAGUGUCCUUGCAAAUAUUUUAAGUGAUUGGACGAAAAUAAAUAAAAAUAGGUAGUUGCAGUGAAAAAUCGCAGAAUAAUAUCGAAAUCUGGUUUUUCUGCCUCUCAAAGAUCUAAUCCAACUGGAUCUGGUACACAAUAAUACCAACAGAGGAACCUAUUAAUCAGUGCUUAAAGGGAUGGAAAAGAUUUUGACAAUGAAGCCCUUCACUAUAUUCCCAGUAUUCAGGCGAACUUGUAAAUACAGUUUCUAUCAUUCUGAAUCCAGUAUGAAGGAAGUUAGAGGUAGUUUUGCAAAAAAAACUAAAACAAAAUAUAGUAUAGAUGCUAUGGGAUGGUCUUGCAGACAGAUUAAGUCUAGUAUAGGACCAAAAAAAUCUAAGUCAACUCCAUUGAGGUUGACAUUUCCCCCAGACUGCCUUUAUUGGUCUGUAAAACCAUCCCUAUACGUCUACAGGAACAGCUAGCAUACCAGCUGUUCCCAUUGACUUCCAUUCAUUGCGUAUAUGGUAGUUAGCAAUUGCAUACACGCUAGAUUGCAACUUCCUUCAAACUUCAGAGACAUAAAAAUAGUAUCAAAAAGUAAAUCUGACUUAGAGUAUAAGGGCCUUAUGGUCAAAAUCCAAAACUGUCCCUUUAAAUUGGGCACGUGUGUUUCGUUUAAACCCUGAUUAUGUCCUCAAACCUUCAAUGACUGUUAGCUCAGGAUAAAGUGCUUUUCUAUCUCAGCCAUCACAGAUGAGAUGAACACAACAGAAUUGAUCUAAACAUUCUGAUGAGCAGACCACUGACUGUUAGUUGUCAAUGCAAUAAUGAAAAACUACAAUGCAAUACAACCAACAAAAAAAAUGACUGCAGGUAAAAACAAUAUUGCACAUAAUCUUACAAAAAGCUAAGACUUUGUCCAUAGUGAUAAAACAGUUUAUGACAAGGGAACACAUCAGUGUUUUUUACUGCAGUGUAGUAUACAAAGCAAAAGGAAAAUCUCUAAGGCCCAUCCAUUCUACUAAGACCUCCUAGUACAUUACACAACAUUAAUUUAGCAAGAUUUGAAAAUAAAGUGAAAUACUUUUUUUGUUUGUUUUUGCAAAAAAACUUGUUUUCAUUGACUUUAACUAUGUAACCACAAGGCGAGCGUUCUCAGGUUCUCUUGUCUGUGACCGAAGUGACAUGAUUUAGCUUCCAUUGAAAAGUGGUUUGUAGGAAUUUAGAAGGACAUUUUCCGAUUGACAUCUACAGCAUUUACUGGGAAUGGUAAACAUUAGAAAGAGGCUAUAGAAAGAGGAAAGGCCCAGAACCAGCCUUCGGGUUGAACCUAGGCCCUAGCGUUGAUGGACUCUCACCUUCCAAACCACUUGCCUUGUACACACAUUUAGGUAACCAUACCAUGUACCACUGUAACAAAUAUUCCCACAGAAGACCAUGCAAAUGUUAAUUAUAAACCACAUUGACCAUUCAAACAAAAUCAUUCCCACAAUUCCUUUUUUUUUUUUAAACCAUAUCGGAGACCCUUUUUUUUUUUUCAUGAAAAGAAUUGAAGGCUCAGUCAAUGCCAGUGGGUUGUUUCAUGAACCGAGUGCCUUUUGCGUCUAUUUGACCGGAAAUGUUCAAGAAAGACAAUCGGAACAGCCACAUACUCUACGCAUUUAGAAAAGUUGACAUGGGUGUCUUUUCGCAAAAUUAUCAAAUUGUAUAAUAACAAAAUUAUAGCUCAUAUUAUUGGAGAUUGUAUGGUUAUAAUAAAAUGUUGUCUGUUAGUAAAAACUAGCAGUAGUUAAUGUAUGGGCUACUGAUCUACAGGACUGUUACAUUACACUCAACAUUUCUCUCAAGUUGUAAAACAAACAUUUUAUCUUUGCUUUCAGUCCAAACAAACCCUUUCUUGCAGUGCUGUUGUCUAUUAUUCACAAUAAAAUUGUCAAACUUGUAGUUGGGUUUCUUUAGAAUAAAUGUAUAUAUAAGAGGAUGGAAUAAUCAAGAGUGCCAUUUGAGAAAAGAGAGGAACUUCUUUCUUUUUCUUUUUUUUUCUUUUUUUUUUUACAAAUUGCACCCUAAUGGUUUAGGUAUUGCCUCAAGAUACUGUCAUAUUCACAAGAGUUUCCUUUCGAAGCUGACAAUAACUCCUGUCCAGAAAGACUUUCAGGCCAAAAGGUAAAAGCUGGUUUGUCUCCGAGAAGACAAACCAUCCACACUGAUAUGUUUUUCAAUAUAUGCCUACCCUCUUGCUGAUAUCUUUUGUAUAUAUGUUCCUUUAGACAUGUUUAUUUACAGUACAAAGAAGUCUGAAAAUACUAGCAGCAUUCACAACAUAUGAUUCUGACUUCCAAACAACACUUUAAACAUAAAUACUGUGUUCAAUAGCUCUAUAAACUAGUUUCAUUUGUUGUUAACCUCCCUGUAUUUUACAUGUGUAUAUAUUAUGAUUCAUAGUUCUACAACAAGUGCAAGUGGUGACCAAAAACAGUUUCUUUCAAAAAAGCAAAAUGAAAACAUGAUGCUAGCUGUCCUUGUUUUCAGGGUGUGAUGAUAUGAAUGAAUUCCAUAGACAUAAGAAAUCUACAUACAAAAUAUAAGUUUUAAAAAAUAAACAUGAAUACGUGAGACCAAAUUUGGACUAUUGCACAUUCCUUUCAAACUGCACUUUAUCCAUUUUCUUUUGUUUUAAUUACUUGGUAAUCCAGUCAUUGUCAGGGACAUAGGUAUUGGCUCAAAUCUGCCAAAACCUGUGGAUACAAAAUCACAUAUUUGGAUUCUACUGCAUAGUGUUAAGAAUGGGGCGAGAUUCAGGACCUUGUCCAUUCCAUUACUUUGUAUCUGUUCAAUUGCACGCUAACCCUUUAACAUAAUGAACAAUUUGUACUCUGUAAUUUAUUCAAUAUAAUUUUUGUUUUAAAAAUAUUUUUCCUAUGGCACAUGUAAACAUAUAUAAAUUUGUCUAAACAAUAUAUUUUGAGCGAUAAUUUAAAUUAUAUCUCCAUUAUAUUAAAUAAAUAUGUGUAAUUUUUGUCUAUAAACAUACCAAACAAAAACAUUUUCUA